Long non-coding RNA from Helianthus annuus (common sunflower), 285 nucleotides. RefSeq lists it as uncharacterized. NCBI's taxonomy places the organism in Eukaryota, Viridiplantae, Streptophyta, Magnoliopsida, Asterales, Asteraceae. The record is from RefSeq and is a predicted model, not a curated record. The transcript has 3 exons.
AAAAUUACAUGACACUGAAUCUGCACUUCCUCCACUAUCGAAGGCUAUUUGGGGACAAAGAAGUCACUUACAUUUCGCCUACAUAGCCGGUUUUAAAUGGCAUACUCGACUCAGAGCCGGACAAAACCAUUUCGUAUAUAGUAACUUGCCAUGUUGUAUAACUCGUAUGAAGACUGUCAUGAUCCUCCACGUCUGCACAAUGUUGACAAUUCUCUGAUUCAAAAGUUGGAUUUUUGAUUGCUCUGGACGGGCCAAAAAAGAAGAUAGAAGCGGCGUAUGCGGUGU